UGUUCCAGUUUAAGCGUGUAGGUGUGUGUUCCAGGUAAAUCCGGUUCACUUUACCACUGAGGCGUGACGACGAGGCACUACGGUGCUGAAGCAACAAAUGCCCUGCUUCCAGGAAAAGCCUCUAAGCAUCAGGGAACACGAAAUCGUACCCCAAUACCAAGGCGCUUGAGAGAACUCGGGAGAAGGCACGCUGACACGUAGGUGAAGUGAUUUACGCUGACACGUAGGUGAAGUGAUUUACUCAUGGAGCUGAAGUCAGUCGAAGAUACCAGCUGGCUGCAACUGUUUAUUAAAAACACAGCACUGUGCAAACACGAAAGUGGACGUAUACGGUGUGACGCCUGCCCGCUGCCGGAAGGUUAAUUGAUGGGGUCAGCGUAAGCGAAGCUCCUGAUCGAAGC
This 401-nucleotide ribosomal RNA is filed under the name Salmonella enterica subsp. enterica serovar 4,12:i:-. RNAcentral describes it as "partial 23S ribosomal RNA". It matches the Rfam family "Bacterial large subunit ribosomal RNA", at positions 1503 to 1918 of the family's 2925-position model. Lineage: Bacteria; Pseudomonadati; Pseudomonadota; Gammaproteobacteria; Enterobacterales; Enterobacteriaceae. The record is from RNAcentral.